UUUCUAUAUAUGUUUGACAUUUUUUUUAAAUAUUAUCGUGUGUAUUUUAAUUUUAAAAUUAUCUGUUAAAUUUUAGCGAAAAAUUAUUUAAAUUAAAGUUUUUUACGCGAUUAUUAUUUUUCACUUAAAGUGAAUAGUAACUCGCGUUUUCGACGAUGAUCGAGGAGAGAGAGGUGGGUUUCGGACGCGAAUCAGACUCUGUUUUGGAUGAUCCGAUAGCUCAUUUUCGAUGGUCCAACUGUGUCAGAGCAAUGACAUUGACGGGUUUUAUGUUUGAUGCACGAUUUU
RNAcentral lists this long non-coding RNA (288 nucleotides) under Ananas comosus (pineapple). Its description in RNAcentral is "long non-coding RNA (ACOM_LNC029491)". The record is from RNAcentral. Lineage: Eukaryota; Viridiplantae; Streptophyta; Magnoliopsida; Poales; Bromeliaceae.